CUCUGUGUGUAGGGGCCGGGCCUUGGGCGGGGGUUCGGGAUCGGCCAUGCGCACCUGAGGGAGGUUUGCAAAUGGGGUGUGUUGCAAUGCUGAGGCACAGGGGAGCUGGGUAUCUCGAACAGGCCCUCCGUCCUGGGUGUGUGCCAAGGCACCAGAAAGGUGCUGGGACACGUUUCGCUUCUGUGUUUCCGUGGAUGGGACUGGUCUGGCGCCACAGCGACCUUAGCCGCCCAGCUGGAGGGUUUGGGUGGGAGGGGCCCUGUUGGGGCCACUUGAGGUUGAAUUUCAGUUUUUGGCCUUGCACCUGAAGUGCCUGCAGGAUAUGCUCAGUUUUGACCUGGCUGGGCAUUCUGUCAGGGGUGUGACCCAGGAGAGCCUAACAGCUGAUGCAGAUAGCAGUUCUGUCCAGCUGGCCUUGCCAGGCUAGGCUAGGCUGUGGAGAGGGAGGGCUGACUAGUCCAUUUCUGAACUACAGUGAGUCACCCGGUCCAGGGUCUUGAGUCAGUGCUCCUUCUCCCUCUGAGUGGGGAAAAGUAUGUCAGAAUAAAUUGAAGAAACAAGGAAGCAGCGUUAGGUUUUAGGGACUUUGAGGUAUGCAGGAGUAAAGAGCUGGGGGAUACAGAGCUGUUUCUCAUAGCAGGUCUCCAGUAACUGUAAGUUUAUCCUGUCUAAAGAUGACAUCCUUUUUUUCCUUCAGUGCUGGAGUUUUUAAUCCUGGGGCCUUGAGCAUGCUAGGCAAGUGCUCUACUACCUUCCCAGCCUUAAAAAUUUUUUUGAGACAGGGUCUUGCUAAGUUGUGCAAGCUGGCCUUAAAUUUGAAAUCCUCCUGCUUCAGCCUCCCCCCUGAGUAGCAGGCCUACAGGCAUGUGCCACUAUGACUGUUGAAAGCUGACUUUUAAUGGAAUCUGUUUUUAAAGCAUUUUAAAUUUAGAGUAAACAGACUGGUGAUUCAGACAUUUGACCUCCCGCAUGCAGUAGGUGCUCUGGCAUGUGGUUGAAUGUGUGCUUCCUCACCAGUGCCUUUAGUGCCUGAGUCGCACUGUUCCUUGACCUGGGCAACUGAUAGCAGCAGACCGAAUGCCCAUCAGCUUGUCUUUCACUGGUGUCUGUGCCAAGCAAAGCCGCUGCUCUCCGCUUAGGCAUGGCUCCUAUGAACCCAAAGGAUGUGCUCUGGGGUAAGAGACUUCCUCUGAGUAAGACUGGGCCUUGUGACAUCUACUGUGGCUGCACAGAUUCCUUUGUGCUCCCUUUGGCUUUUUCGGAGCUGUCUGCAGUGAAGUUCAGGGAAAGCCGACUCUGUCUGGAUGGGUGCUUUUACCCCAUCUCUUACAGCAUUCUUCCCUAGCAGAGUUUUUCACCCUGUUUAUAUAAGGCAGGAUUACUUCGUCUCUCCACACUCUUCGUGUGUGUUGAGGGGGGGGGGUUGCUUUUUGUUUUUUUUUUGCAAGAGAAGUUUGUAUCAAAGGUGUUUGGUGACAGUCUUAUCUUUGAACAGUAAUUUUUUGUAACAGUUUUAAUGAAAUAUAAUUUGCAUGCCAUACCGAGUAUAUGUCACCCAUUCAGAGUAUAUAAAUCAGUGGUUUUCAUUCUAUUCCCAGAGUUGUGUGGCUCUCCUGGCUACGCACUUUGGAACUAUGUCAUUAACUCAGCAAUCCUAGACUGGCCGCUCCUGUUGUCCCAGCUGCUCAGGAGGAUGCAGGACUGCUUGAGCCCAGCAGUUGGAGGCCAACCUGUGCAACAUAGCCAGAGCCUCUCUUUGUGAUUUUCAAAAAAAAACCCUGUACCUCAGCCAUCAUUUCCCAGUCUCCCCUUCCUCUAGUCCAGGGUAACCGUUAUUGUACUUUUUGUCUCUGUAGGUUUGCCAACUCUAGAUGUUUCAUAUAAAUGGAAUCAUAUUACUUUACUGUAUGUGGUUUUUUGUGCCUUCAUUCACAUUGUAGCAUGUAUUAUAACUUGAUUCCUUUUUAUGGAUGAAUACUAUUCUACUUGGUAACUGUAGCACAUGUUAUACAUCUGUUUGUCCCCUGAUGGACAUUUGGAUUAUUUCUAAUUCUUGGCGAUUAUGAAUAAUGAUGUUGUGAAUAUUCAUGUACAAGUCUUUAUAUGAACUUAUGCAUUGAUUUCUUUAGAGUAUAUACUUAGAAGUAGAAUCUCUAUGUCAUAUGGUAGCUGUUUAACCUUUCCAAGAACUGCGUGUUUUCCAUUUCCAGCAGGACUGUAGGAGGGUUCUAAUUCUCUUAUUACUAUUUUUUUUUUUUUUUGAUGCAGUUUUGGGGAUUAAACCCAUCAGGGCCUCACAUAGCUCAGCAUGUUUUAUACCACUGACCUACAUCCCGAGCCUCCCCUCGGGGCCCUGCCCGACUUUUUUUUUUUUUUAAAUAAGGUAGGAAUCUCUCGGUCUUUCCCAGGCCAAUGUUGAACUCCAAACUCACAUGAGCCUCCUGCCUGAGCAUUUUGGAAUGCUGGACCUAGAGGGCUACUGUGCCCAGCUCCUUUAUCUGUUAUUAAAUGUUUGUUUGUUUUGUUUUAUUCAUUUUUUUUUUUUUUUGAGUUAGAGCCUUACUGUGUAGUUCACACUGGCCUUGAACUCACUGUGUAGGCCAGGCGGGCCCCAAACUUGUCAUGAUCCUCCUUCCUCAGCCUCCCCAGUGCUGGGAUUACAGGCAUGUGCCUCCACGCAGAGUAAUAGGUUUUGUUGAUGAAGUCUUUUCCUACACUGUGUCUUUAAGAGUUCUACCUGUUCUUUCUUCCAGCAGAUUUAGUGUUUCUGUUUUAAUAUUGAGAUCCUUGAUCCAUUUUGAUUUUAACAUCUGGGAAGUUCUUGUCAUGUUUGGGCAUCUUGAGGAGGAUCAAGGUGGUUCUCAUUUGAGGGGCAUUGUAUAGGUCCUGCCCACCUGGUGGCAGAUGGGUCUUCGCCUAGAGGGGAAGGCAGGAGUCACAUGUAGAGCUUGGAGAGCAGUGCACCAUCAUCCCUCUCACUGCCAUCUGGGAUGUGACCUUUAAACCUAGGAGAGCUGGAAUGGUAGCUCUGGAAGGAGGUUCUCAGGCCGGGAAGGGCUUUUGUCCAGGAAACACAAGCUGCAAGAGCUUGUGUAGAGCCGGCGUAGGGAGCGUUGGAAGUUCUCAGUUCAGAUCGGGGCACAGCUUUGGUUGGUCGAAUUAAAAAUUGUUUUAAUUGGUACAUCUCUCAGUUACUUUAUAACCUCAGUGAAAUUUUAUGAUUAUUUUCAUUCUCUGGAAAAUGCAUCCAUUCUUAACAAUUGUUUAAAAGCCCUUAAAGGUUUGAAGUUACAGAAAACAUCUUAUUGGGGUCUGCAGAUGUGUCAGUGUUCUCUAUAACACCAAACCUUACAGAACCAACUUAAAGUGCUAUGGAUAUAGGUGACUGCUUUCUAAGCCUCCUAACAUAGGAGGAGUUGCAUUUUCUAUGCUGUGCAUUUGCCCCAAAACAUGACAAGUCAGCCCUCUACUAAAUGAUUUGGAACAUUUAUUAAAUCAUUAAAGUACUUGAAAUCAAAGGGUGAUUUUUUUUUUUUUUUUGUCUUUUUCCUUUUUAUCGGUACCAGGGAUUGAACUCACAACUGUCUGCUUGCAAGGCAGGCGCUAUGCCUCUGAGCUAAAUCCCCAGCCCAAAGGGUGAUGUUUUUUAAAAGAUUUACAACAAGCUGAGCUCUUAAUUCUCAGUUGUUUCUAUCCCUACAGCUGUCAUUUAUGUUUAGUGAUGAUGUAAGGGCGUUUGGUCAUGUGGCUCCUGCCCUCCAUGUGUUGCGCUGGCAUCGUGGUAACCUGGGCCUGAAGGUGGCUGUGCUUACUCUGUAACCUUGGUGCUGCUCUUGCAGAUGUGGAAAGCAUCAGCAGCCUAUGUGUCAUCCAUCACCUAGGAUGACAGAGGAGCUGAUGACUGGGAGACGGACCCUGAUUUUGUGGUAGGAGUCACCAGCCUGCCUGUGCUUUGCGUUUCUUUGAAAGCGAUUUUCCAGUGUUUUGUUCAUGUGUGUGUUUGUGUUCACGGUCGUGGGUGUGGAGUUUACUAGUUGUUUCUCUUUCCAGAAUGAUGUGAAUGAAAAGCACAGAGAUGGGGCACCAAAACCGUGCAAGGGUCUGGGCAAGAGGAUCACAUCAAGUAAGAGCUUCUGCAAUGCUGUCGGGAAUGGGGGCCCCUCCACAGGAGGGGAACAGGCCCCAGCAGGGACAUCUACUGCUGACAGCUAAGGGGGGCAGUCAGGCAUCAGAGUUCCUUUUGCUUAGGGUAUUGACCUAAUGUUCAAUCAGCAGAUGAAUGAAUGUAAGACAUGGCACCUAGGUUUAAUGCAUGCUUUUAUGUAUAUGUGCUUACACGUGUAAUUGGCCACCAAGUUAAAAUGUCCACAGCAGACAGUUUCCUCACUUACAGUUCUGGGACUCCCACUUCUGCAUCUGAUGAUUUUUAGGGCCCACAGUUGCCUAAGUUCUUUCUCUAAAUAGGAGGCUUCUCAAAUCUGAGAUGUCAUUGGAUACUUUAGAUCUUAAACACCCUCCUUUCUUUAAUUAUAAUUAUUACUAUUUUUUUCCUCCCUUUUAUUACUGUCUGAAAAUUAUGGUGCUUUGCAGGAUUUAGUCGCUGGGAUGUAAGAACUGAAUUCCAGGCUUUGAGAAAAGCCUAGAAUAGAAUACAGGAGCUGUAUCAUUGUUUCUGAUCUGGCACUAUCUGAAAUGCCAGCUCUGGGCAGCUUGUUUUCUCUCAGGAAGCGUGAAUAAAAGGGCCUUUAAAACCAUGCUCAGAGGUUGGUUUUAGGCCACACUGGUCAGGAUUAGUUGUCCCUGUCCUGAAUUGUAAAGGCAGCACUGCUGACCUGGUGACCUGCUUUGAAACAUGGGGAAAGUUCCUGUCUUGCUUGGCCAUAGUAUCUGGUAGAGGAGGAUUCAGUAAAUCCCCUGGAAAGACAGAGCCUACAUGGUGAUAUUUGAGAAUAUCACCUUUUUAUUUUUUGUAUUUUUUUAAUGAAACAAAGUCUUACCGUGUUGCUUAGGCUGGACUUAGGUGAUCGUACCGCAUGGGAGCUCUUUAGUCUCGAGUGUUGGUCCCUCCUGGGCUUGCUCAGCCCACGCCUCCCACAGAACUGAGUUGAGAAGUCAGAAGGCUAGCAGAGGGGAUGAGAUAGUGCUGGCAGGAGCACCUGCCCCAGGCUGUUUGCCACGGGGUUACACAGAAUCCCAAGUUGGUUAGGUCAUCUGGACCUCUUCUAUUCUUGGUGGCCUCAGCCUGUUGGGCAGGGAGUAUGGACUGUCUGGGAUGCCAGCAUCUGGAUGAAUUAAGGUCCCAUGAGGAAAGUGUGGGGAUGAGAUCGUUCUUAGCACCCUGCGGCUCUUCCCAGGGUUCUGGAAGGACUCUUUUUCUCUUGCUCAUGGAGGGUCAGGUAAUUUCCAGGCCUGGUAUGUAUUUUAGCCACAUUCUUGUGAUGAUUGUCUUUGUGUUGAUGGUGUGGGCCUUGCAUCUUCCGGGCAGAAGGGCUGCAUGCCCAGGUGGCUGUUGUGCUGCUCUGGUUCUCAUGGUGACAGCUCCUUCCUGGCCUGCCAGAUUUUGACUAAAUCUUGUGAUGUGCUUCCUGCCUUUCUGUAUUUAAAAUGAAAAGUGACUCUUUGGUGAUAAAUUCUAAAUGUCUGUCUUGACGGGUAUACAAUGCUUGAGUACCUUAAGUAAAGACAGACUGUCAGUACUAGGUAUCUUGGAGGCCUUGGGGAUCUGGAGGAAGGGACCUUGACUUUAUUCCCUCUUCUGCCUCCUGAUGGUGUUUGCAGGACUUGUGUUCCUAACCCAUUUGUCUACUAAAAUUAGCGGCCUUUUUCCAAAUGAAAUGGAGUUCAGGUUUUAACUGGGUACCUUUGGGCCAGAGUUGGAUGAGGCCACGGUGUGCAUUUGGUGCAGCGUUCCUCCUCCCAUCCAUUUCUUCCCAAGAGCCGCUGAGGUGGAUGUCCCAGCUGUCAGGAUAGUCAGGAAGGUAUAUAAAAGGUAGACAGUUGGUAAGCGCCAAACAAAGGAAAGCUUUCAAGUUUGCAAAGGUGAUUUUGCCUGUCUUUAUUUAUCCCAUUGCAAAGCAAGGAUGUACAUCGUUUUAGAGUUUUUUCUCUUUGUUGUUACCUUUCGUAAGUAUACACAAGCUAAGAGAGAACGUCUUUCAAGAACAUCAGACUCUCAAGGAGAAGGCACUUGAGCCAGGACCAAAGCCUCCCAUGGCUAUGGGGGAAAUUGGGCGCGGAACAAGACAGAAUGGACAAAGUAAGUGGGCGACAGCUAUCUGUGCUGGGCACCUGGCUGUGUGGGCUGCUUGUGGUGGGCCAAGUAGUCCUCACGUUUUUUCUUUAGAGUAAAUGUGUCAAGUUGGUUUGUCAGGGGUGAAAUCUGCUCAAAGUGGGCCUCUGUCAACUGACCCCACUCACAAAGCUGUCUGGCUUUUUAUUUAUUUAUUUAUUAUUAUUAUUAUUUUUUCCUUUUUUUUGUUUGAUCUUUUUCCUCUUUAUCGGUACCAGGGAUCGAACUCACAACUGCCUGCUUGCAAGGCAGGUGCUUAUGCUGCUGAGCUAAAUCCCCAGCCCCCUCUCUGGCUUUUUAGAGGUGUUUUGGAAGUUCGGAGAGGUGCUGGCAAAUGGCAGAUGUGUAGAGAGACCCUGAGGGGAGAUUAGCUCAACUUUGUAAAUGGGACAAAGUCCAGAAACAGCUGAGCUUCAGAUGUCCUAGUCAGCACUGCCUGUGGUUCCGGCUUAUGGCCCAAGUUACUUAUUUCAUAGAAUAAACCAUACCUGUGGGCCCCUUAUCACAUCAUUCCUGGAAAUUGUGCUAGCAUGUAGCUGACGUCCCAUGUGGCUUUACUGACCUGUGCACGUAACAUCAGCACCAUCCAGGUGGCUCCUGUGAGCAGUCCGUGAUGGGGCCAGUCUGCAGACAUCGAGCAGAUGCUCAUGGUAGCUGCUGAUGAGCACAGCCACUUUUACGGCACUGCAUGUUGUUCCACAUAAGAGCAGGCGAGUGUUAGCUCGAGACCGCUGGCUGGUUUCUUCCUGGAGAAAAAACAGUGCAGAUAGCAGCACAUUUGCACAUCUGUCGUAAAACAAGGCUGAGUUUUGCAGACAGCCUUGCAGCAGUGAAUUUUCAGGUCUGAGCAACAUGGUAUUGUUCAGACCGGACAGGUGUGUUGCGUGUACUGUGGACAGAGGUGAAAAGAUGAGCUGGGGUUAGAUUCUGGAGGGUAAUUCCAUACCGCUCCUUCUGUUGCAUGGAUCGAAUUAAACAUUUGAGCUGGGCAUGGAAUGUCAAAGCUGUGUCAGAGUGAACCAGAUAUCACUCCACCAGCAGAUCAGACUGGGCUAUGGGGGUGGGCUGGGAGCACCCUAACCACAUCCAGAAAUAACAUGAAGCUGGAGGCUGACUAGGUGCCAUCUGCAGGAAAGAGACAUGGACAUUUGCUGUGUCACUUGUGCUUCUCCCACAGAGAUGUCCUAAUGCUGAAAUAGGUAGUGUGUGCAAAAGAAUCUCCUGGGGCUCUGGAUCCGAGUCUGGUAGGUAGCCUUUCAAAGCAGCAGAGCAAAGUGGCAGACAGAACCUUCCAUCCAGUAGGUGGCUAGGCUUGUGCUCACUGGGGGUCAUGGGGUGUUAGUGCAAAGAGAGGCUGACUCUGGAAAUUGGGCCCCCAGUUAGGGUUAGGGAAAAUGAUCCCAGUUUAUCCAGCACGAGUCUGAUUUAAAAUGAUUUCCCUGCUAUUUCUUGGUCUGUGUCUGUUGUUGGCCUGAGUCCUGCUCUUCCUUGAACCUCCAGCUUGGGCUUUUUCUAGCCCGGAAGCUUCCCUAAAGAGCCCGUCUCUUCCUUCUGCCUCACCUUCCCACCCUGUGGCUCCUCCUUCAUGCUGGCCUUGGCUUCGCUGUCAGCUGUUGCUGCCACAUUGUUCUGUGGUUUGCAGUGAGACUCUUCUCUGGCCUGCUUCUCAGGGCCAGCACUCAUCAUUCUUACCUGUGGGUGGCUUGGUGUUGUGCAGGGUGCUCAGGGACUUGUGGUGAGUGUAGAGAAUCACGUUUUGUGGCCGACACACACACACACACACACACACACACACACACACACACACACGCAGGUCCUGCUGGCUCAAAGAAUCACUCACUCACUUCUGAGUGGGGCUGAUAAUAAUCCUGCAGCAAUGGACCUGGAGAGGGGCGUUGCUUCUGCUGCUUCUUAGUGCUGUUGUUUUCUGGGCCUACAUAUCUAAGAAUAGUCAGCUUUCAGCUCACAUGAGCACCAUGAGACCAGCCUGUUUUCAGAAAGAACUUACAGUUAACCUGGGAAUAAGUGCUUAAACUCUUUGUAACUUGUCCUGUCUAGAAUCUGGAUAAAUAUAAGUGAGGUCCUUCCUUGUGCAAAGAAUUGAGGAACUUGUGACACACACUGUCAGAAUCAUAUUUUGAGCAAGCACAAGAGCGGUCAGGUCUUUGGUUUUGCCAUUUUCUGAGCACAUGGCCAGCUUCUGGCUUCCUGUUUCUCUGGUUUCUGUUGCUUCCUAUACCUCAGCCUUCGAGAUGGAGCUCCACUUGCACAGCUGUGUAAUAGCAAGUGUGAUUCUGCCAGUAGAAGAUUAAAGAUGCUUUAGGAGCAUGUCUGUUUCAGUCAGAAAGCUGUAGCUGUUGCCAAAUAUAAUUAUCCUGGCUGUAUUUUUAGGGUUCUUUUCAUGUAACUUUCUGAUUAAAAGUCGUGCUGGAGAAUCCCUUUGUCAUAGUGGCCUCUUGCCACUCCCUCACUGACAUUUUGUGAGAUCCUAGAGGCCAUGCAUGGGGUGUGUUAUGGUUUAUGUCAGGAUCCCCCCCCCCCCCCAGAGCCUCAUGCAGUCAUAGGGUUUGUUUUGGAAGUGACUGUAUCUAGAGUGUGUGAUGCUGGGAUACUAUGAGGCUGUGUGAUACUGGUUGGUUUGACAGCGCCCUAAUCCUAGCAGCCUAGAGUAUAAAAGGGUCAGAAAGAUGCUAUUAAGGCUGCUUGCUUGAUUUAGCUAUCUUCUGCUGCUCUGAACUGUUGCCCCUGUGCCAUGUGCAAUCCUUUCUUGGAACCAGCUAUGGACUGAAACCUGUACAAUCUGUGAGCUUUCUUCCUUUUACUUUGGGUGUCGGGUAUUUUAUCUCAGCAACAAGAAAAAUAACUUAAGAUUGGCCACGUGCCGAGCCUCAUUGAUGUGUUGAACGCUGCCAAAGUGGCUAGACCCUGCAUCUGCCAGGUAAUCUGGCAUAGGUGGCUAAGAUCAGGAUGUGUACCAAUGGGGAGUGGGCAUAUGUGUUUGAAUGUGUGUGUGUCCUUCCCAUAUCUGUCACUGUGUUGCCUGUGCUUAGCACCCUUGGAGGGUUCCAGGGGACUAUGCACUGUGGGAUUAGCUCUGGAAGCCUGGGUCUUAACUGUGUUCAACAUGGGGAACCAUUGGGCCCAAGACAGCAUUGUGGUCACAGGAUCUGUCAAGGUGGCUGCACUGGGUGGAAGAAUCAUAGACACAACCAGAGACACUGUGCUGGUGAAGAGACACAGCUGGGUUCCCAAGAAUGUCAUUGCUGGAGGGGGCUGCUCUUGAGGCUGGGGUUUGCAGACCUCAAGGUGAAGCAUGCCAAGACCCCAGACUCUGCUUCCUUACUUUACUACCUGGUGGACAGGUGACAUACAGAGGAUUCCUGAACUUGUGCUCCCAGUAUGAUGGGGGCUGACAGUGUUGGUGACUGCGACCCUGGAGUGAGCCAGUUUGGGUGACAACAGCUGGUACCCUGUCUACAUAGUAUGCAUACUUCGGUGUUGAUUCUGAGUCUGCAUUAUUACUAAAAUAGACCUUUCUAUGCUUUAGUGUAUUGACAAAAUAAAUAUUUUUUGUCCUGAUUUGUAGUUCUUAUAGUAUGAAAAAGCCUUUUUUCAAGAGAGUAAAUGUAUUGCCAGUAAUGUCCAUGUAAACAGCUCUUCGGAAUUGUGUGGUCAGCUGCCAGCAUCUUUUUUUUCCCAUGCCCUCUUGCAUCCGAAGCUCCACUAUGGGUGAGGGUUUGUGGUGUGGGAGCCCUGCAGCUGUAUUGGAGGAGCCCUGCACCAGGGACUCGAUGGCUCAGACUGCAUUUCCUCCCAGGAUUCCCACCGUGGUUGCGUGGAGGAAAUGCCUGCACGUGGGUUGUUAGUGUUGCGCUAGGCGUGAGUCUGUGGUAUUUUAUUUUUGUACUCUCUUCCAGUCAGCUGUUGGCUAUGAAUAUCAGUUGAAACUUGCUAAGCACUGCUCUCAAGUCGACUGGGUCUGGGGUUUUGGAAGCUAGUUUGGUGUCCAGAUGGACAGAGUUGACCAGAAUGCAUCGACCUUUGAAGAUGUGGCACAGGUAUCUUCUGCCUCUCAGAAGACUGUCCCUGUUGAAGCUGGUGAUGACGAAGUCUCCUUUGACCCCGAUGACAUCAUCAGCGACAUAGAAAUAGUUGAUGAUGGCUGGUGGCGUGGCGUGUGCAAGUGCUGAUGUUGUGGGAGGCGAGGCCCACUAUCAGUGAAGCAGGCCCUUCAGGAGGAAGUGAAAGCCGUGGAUCUGGCUCCCCUUCACAACCAGAUGCAGAUUCCCAUUUUGAACAGCCCAUGAUGUCCACGCUAGAAGAAACAUACCUUUCUCAGAGCACAUUGAUAGAGACUCAAGAAACAUUGGCUUUGACCCAGGGGGAGUUACUCGAGGUUGGUCAUGAGAGAGAUUCGUUGCAGACACAACUCAAUACUGCGCUUCCACAGACAACCUUGCCUUGGCGUUUCCAUCUUCCCGUCUCAGCCUCCGUUAAUGUGGACGUUGCAGGCCGGCUCCAGCAUGCAUGACUUGGCUUCGUUGUUGUUUUCCUACUUAAUGCUUGCUUUCUAUUUCAUUACUGAGAUCUUUUGCCUUUGUUCAUUUUUCUAGUUUCACAAGGGAAAGCGCGAACGCAGUCCCCCACUACCACAAAUUAUGCAGCCGAGUUUCCCGCAUUUGGGGAAAUCGCAGGGGUCAGCACAUCCGGAGUGCAAUGGAUGAGCCUCACCCUGGGAAAACCACCUUCGUGAUCAUGGCAAUGGCCCAGAAUGAACAAAUGGAGGAAAGAAUCACUACGCUGGAAAAACACUACCUUGCUGCACAGCCUGAAGCCACAUCUGUGCAUGACCUCAGUGACGAACUUGAAAAUGAAAUUGCAAAUAAAGAUUCUAUACAUCGACAGGACGAAAGCCCAAGGCUAGGACCCGCUGCCUUGUCUCAGACCUGUCUACAAGUGCCAAGAAGUCCCCUCGGUCUGCCCAGUUAAACCGAAGUGAAGAAGGAACCAUCCCAUACCGGUCUUUGUCUGGCCGAUGUUUGCUGUUCUUAGACUCACCAUUAAGCUAAUCUUCACGACCAGCCCAGGACAAGUCUCCUCUAAGUCACCAGGCUGCAUGCUGAGGAGAGAUGACCAGUGAACAAGACCAACCUACCGUGUCUACCGUAAGUCAACAGACUGCUUCCUUUGCUGAGAAAUUCUUACUGCCAAAACCAAAAUAUCCAAAUCACACUCAAGUCCACUGAACAGAGGUAAGCUCUGUGGCCGGCUGCUGGUGAAAGUGCGGCAUCUCACUUUGGGCAGGCACAGAUCAUGGCCAUUCCGUGCAGCAUUACUGUGUGGAUCACUUCCUCACUUAAAAAAGAGCAAGCCACAGUUCCACUGGGCCAAGGAACAAAUCAGCAACAGAGUGAGGAUCUGUACCCGUGUGCUUACUAAAUUACCCUUCUGCUCAGCCCCAUAGAGAAGCUCACACACAGCUGCUGAGGACAAUCACCACUUGGCACCUGCGGCAGCACUGCCCCACAAGUGCACCACCAGGAAGGCAGGAAGCAUGAAGCGGGCAUGGCACAGGGCCAGAGGCAGCAGGCAUUAGGGGGAGCUUCUAGAUCGACAAAAAGAAAGGCCCCCAUCCCCACUGCUCCUGGAGCACUGUUUUUACCCCCAAGAUUUACUCUCAGAGGUAGACUCCCAGCAGACCAGAGCAUCUUGACCAAUCCAGGCCCAAGGGAGAAGUGGUCCAGGUUUUGAAAUCAAACCAGACUUAACUUAACUAUACCUGCUCGGCACAUCAUGUGAUCUAAGCUUCAGUUUGCCCAUCUGUAAAUGGGGUAAGCACAGCAACUGGUUUCUCAACAGGGAUGUGAUUGUGGACUAAAUAUAGCAACAAAAUGGCCAAGCACUGAGUUUGGCACCUGGCAGAGAGCAGUGCUUGCUAAGUUUUAGCCAUCCAUAUCAGAAAAACUGGUUUUCCUCAAUCUAAAGCCUAUGGCUCUGCUUUAAUCACUCCCUCCUUUCAAAUCCUAAAUUCUAUGUCUAUUAUACACAUGCAUUCAAUGGUUAGAGGCAAAAGCACUGAACGUAGCAAACACUGACAUCUGUCCCCAUGAUCCAUGGAUGGCUGAUUGCCAAGAGAACAGUAACUUGUGAUAUGGCAUGUCAGUUUAAACAUUUCCAAUAAAACAUCAGUUAUUCAUUGCAAUAUAAUGACAACAUUACACUUAUGUGUGUGACAUAUAAUACUCAUCCAUGCAUUAGGGAGAUACAAAGCUAUGCUCAGUUACUGGACAAUUAAGCUUUCUAUGAUAUUUCCUUAAGUCGCUAGGCUGACAAGACACAUGCAAAGAAAUAGAGACCAGAUUUAAUAUUAAAAAUUCAAGGAUCUACACAAGCAAAUAUAUUACAAUAUGAAGGACAAGACAGAAAUAAGGGAGACAGGAUUUAGAGGAAAUAAUAACUUGAAAUCCAAUAAUUUUUUAUUACAAAUUUAUUUAUCUAUUUAUUUGUCUUUUUCCUUUUUAUCGGUACCGGGGAUCAAUUGCCUGCUUUAAAGGCAGGUGCUUAUGCUGCUGAGCUAAAUCCCCAACCCCUUAUCACAAAUUUAAAUCUAAGUUAUCCAAGGUUUACUAGAAAACACUAUAAAUUACUACUCAAACAGCAAAUUCUGUUUAAACACAGGCAAUUUAAAGCAUGGCACUGUAUAGAACAAAGGGCCCUGAUAAUCACCUACUCUCUAAUAUUCCCAUGAUGACAAGAUGUUACAGCAACAUCUAUUAUAAAACUGAACAGCCAGGCAUGGUGGAGUGCACUUAUAAUCCCAGCAUUUGGGAAGCUAAGGCUGGAGAACUGCCAGGAGUUCGUGGCCAACCUGCACUACAUGAGUUCAAAGCCAGCCUGCACUGCAUGGCGAGAUCCUGUCUCAGAAAAACACAAAAAACUGAACAGACUUAUUUUUAGUUAAUCAUUUUUUGUGCAAUACAGUAAAAUCUUCACCUAGAAUUUGAUUUACAACUUCUCAAAAUAUAUCAUUUAUCCCCACGUGCAGUGGCAUACACAUUAAAUCACAGCACUCUGGUAGGCUGAGGCAGCAAGGCUGCCAAGUUUGAGCUCAGCUGGGCAAUUUAGCAGGAUCCUGUCUCACAAUAAAAAAUAAUACUGAAAAAAAAGGGUCAUGUGUGUAUCUCAUGCACAGGCCUGGAUUCCUUCCCAGGUACUGUGGAAUACAAACAGCAGAAUGGAAAAAAAUAAAAGAAAGCUAGGCAUCCUAAAAUGCGUAACAAUAAAGGCUAGCCCAGUACUAGGUGGGAGGUAUUUUAAUUAAAAAGUAGUCCAUUAAAAACUAUAGCAUAUGCCCAAUAAGUUGAUGAGAUUUAGAAUUCUGAUUAUAAUCAAUAAAAUCUGAUUCGUAUUGUCUGUAUAAAGUUUCCAUUAAUUUUAUACUCAGGAGUGGCCCCUCCUCUUGCUUCUGCAGUAUGCAGGGUUGAAUCCAGCUGGGGCCCUCAACAAACUACAUUCCCAGCCAUGAUUAUAUUUUUAUUUUGACACAGGACAUCGAUAAACUGCUCAUGCUGGCCUCAGACUUAUAAUCCUCCUUCUUAGCUUCCCCAGUAGCUGGCAUUACCACUGCAUGUGCCACUGCACUAAGCCCAGAUUAUUUCUUAACAAAGCAAAUACUUCACUCAUGAAUCAUGCAGAUCCUACACAAUGUAAGGAAAAACACUCAACCAAUUAUAUCCUGCUUGUAACCACGUUGACAAAUUAUAUAUUAAAUAUAAUUGAUCACUACUGAGCAAAAUACAUGUAUAAUGACAAAAACCCCAAACCCCACUAAUAGUCAUAAUCCAGCUCAGACUCAUAGGUGCUUGCCUGGUUACCUGUGCAGAGCCAUCACAGAAUGGGGAGGGGCUGGAAGGGGAGCUUGAUGGACAAACUACAAAUUGAUAGGGCCCUGGGGCCUGGAUUAGAAUUGAAUCUGGAGAUGGCUAAAAUAAAACAAACACAAGGGUGGUACAGGAAAUCCAAACCAAUAAUGGAAGCACACAGACUGUCAGCCAGCAUACUGAAUUAGAGAACCAGGAAAAAAGAGUUUUCUUCCAUGGUUGUUUGUAGUACUGGAAAUAGAAGCCAGGGGUACUCUAACACUGAGCUAUAGUCCCAUCAUUUUUUCUUUUUAAUUUUGAAACAAGGUCUUGCUAAAUUGUGCAGCCUACCCUUGACCUUAUGAUGGUCUGCAUCAGUCUCCUGAGUAGCUAGAAAGAUAGGGUUCACCCACUAUGCUUGGGCUACUAAGCCCUUUUUGAGUCAGUGUCUUCCUAAAUUGCCCAGGCUGACCUUAAACUGGCAAAACUCCCACUUCAGUCCACAAAUAGCUGGGAUUACAGACGUGUUCCUGCACUUCUUUUACAAAUAUCUGGAAAGAAGGACACAACUGAAAAAUGAGAUUGUCAAAAAGAUUAAAAUACAAUACCAGGCUUUGUGCCACAUCUUUAAUCCCAGCACGUGAGAGGCUGAGGCAGGAGAAUUGCCAUGAGUUCAACGUCAGCUUGACUUACACCAUAAGAUCCCUGUUUCAAAAAAACCAAGAAAUAAUAAAAUAGAAGUUUGAAAAGAAGAAAAAAGGGCCAGGGAUAUAGCUCCAUGGCAUAGCACUUGCCUGGCAAGCACAACGUCAUGAGUACAAUUCCCAGUACCAAAAGAAAAAGAAAAAGAAAAAAGGUUUGGUGAGUGGUUUGGUGCUUGCCUAGUAUGUGGGAGGCCUUUGGUUCAAUCCCAAUUCUGCCAAAAAAAAAAAAAAAAAAAAAAAAAGGAAAAGAAAAAUCGUUUAAAAGAUUGCUCAGUUAGUUAAUGGUAUAAAUUAUAAAUACAUCCAAGUGUCACACAACAGAUGGGUGACACUUAACAUUCCACUAAAAUGACUUGCUUAAUUUGAUUAUAUGCUGGCAAAGAAUGCCACUAAAAAGUAAAAUGUACAGCAACAGAAAAAAGAAAAAGAUACAAGUACAUGUGAAAAGCAGAAUGUUGUAAAUACAAUUUCACAUGAAAUGAGAUCUCAUAAGCAAGAUAAGCACCAAGACUAAAUUACCCAAAAAGUAUUCACAUCUUAGAGCUGACGUACCCUCCAAAAUUCAAUACCAUACCUCUGAGCAUGAGGAAAAUAUGGAAAAAAUGCUCCCUUUGCCACAGUCCCAGAGAGUACUCACAUCUCUUUAAGCCAGCUCAUAGCACAAAGAGUACUGAAAAAUCCUUGUUUAAGGAGUGCAUGUACUUGAGAAGCAGAACAGAAGAAGAACACAUGAUGACAGCCAAGAAGCUGCAAAGAUGAAGAAUCCACACGAGGGUGGAGGACAAACUCCCACAACGUAAGUGGGAAAAGCUGGGCAACUUCUCCUCUACCUUUUUAAAGACCACAGGAAAGGAGAAAUUUCCCAACCACAUGCAAGGGGUAUGUCACAAUCUGAUAGCAGUACUGUGUUGUAUUAUUCAUAUUUAUACUCAUUCAACAAUACUAAGGCUGAAAAUAACUGAUCAAAGAAAGGAGGAAAAAAAAAAAGAAUCACUAUCCUAAACACUCCAAGGACUCAGCAUUAUGACAUCCCUGUAAUAUUUAUUAUUACUUACUUCACUAACGUCUCGUUGCAAUUUUGUGUUCAUCUCUUCAGCCUUGAUGAGAUCCUUUCUAGCUGUGUCAAGAUCUUCUUCCAGCUCUGACACAUGGCUGGAAAGUGUAGCCAGGCGCUCCUUCAUCUGACUCUGCUCUUUCGACUGUUUAUCUAUGACUUCUGGGAGCUCAAUUAUUUUGGCAAGGUCUUCCUCAUGGCUUAGAAGCCAGCAGAAGAUCUUUGAUGGGUAAAAUGGACACUCUUAAAUAACUUCAGUGUACUACCAAAUAAAAUACUUUAGGGCAUAGAGACUAUCAAAAUGGAUUUAUGCCAUCUGUUGGAUGAAAGGACUCUCACAAUCACUUUAGCUGCAAGCAGGCCAUUCCAGCAACAGCAUUCAAACAGCAUCACACACGAACCAAGAAGCAUAAGAAAUCAGCAACAGAACAAAGAGAGAGCUCAAGGACUUACCUUUCCAUUAGUGCUUGGUGUAUCUUCUUGUUAUGGUUUAUGUCAAGCACUCCAUCUGUUAGUGUUUUAUUCUGAGUAUUCUGAUCUUUAAGAAUCAUUAGCUACAAUCAGAAAUUGAGUAUGAGACUACAAUAACUUAUGGAAGAGUAAUGAGUAAAGACAGCAAAAUUCCAUUUGGAAAAACAGUUCUACAGUACUGAACAUAGUAUAAAAAAGACAGUACAUGGCAAAGCUGUCCAUCCUGAAUAGAACCGGAUUACUAGAAACAGAAUGUACUCACUGCUUGACAAGGAAUUUAGAGAUUCUUGCAAUCUGAAAUAAAAGUCUAACCCCAAACUACGACAGGCUUCAUACUGUUUAAAAUAAAAUAAUUUCCCCUUUUCAGGACUAGGAUGAUGUCCCACAAUUACUUCCUUGUGCUUGGCACCAAGUUCCUCUUCUAACAAACUGCACCUUUCCAGUGCUACUCGAAAUCGCUCUUGCACCUGAAAAGUUGAGUUUUUAUAUGCAUACGCACACUUUCUGUAUAGUUAUCCUGAUAUUGAUGAAACGCAUUUCAUAAAGUACUUUCAAUGUCUUUCAUUGCUAAUAUUGUCAAGAAAAUGUCCUUGUUAAUGGCUUUAAAUGUUAAGGCUGGGAAACUCUUGUUCCUAAAUAAAUGACCACUAUCCAGUUCUUAAUGGGAAGUCAAUAUUCACAAGUAAUCAACUGAAGACUCACAUUCCAGUUACUACUUGUUAAUCAGACAGAACAUUGCCUUUUAAUAAAGAAGGUCUGUUUACAAGAAUUCAAAAAGUUAACAAAUGGUAAAGCUAAACAAAUACAUGCAAAGCCUGCCAUGAACACAGCAAGUGUAAGAACCCAGAACCGCUAGCGUGGCUGAUGUACCUUUUGGUCCAGGGCCUUGUGAUGUUCAAAUAAGGACGUCAGUGCUUUCAGAACUUCCAUCUCAAUGGACACACCUGCAGGACACUGCACCUGCUGUUUCACCAUAGUCAUCCUGAAAGAGUUCAUGCCUGGAGACAAGGCACUCCAGAUGUUCCAGGAGCAGCUCAAACCAGGCCAGAGGGGGCAUGUAAAGAGCACCUUCAAUUUCACAUUCAAAUCCUUUACAAUCUCAUGGUCAAACAAGUUCAAAUUCCUUCAAUUCAGUAGAGUUAGAUAAGUUUCCCUCAAUUGUAUUAGAAUGUCAUGAAUUCCCAUCACUAAUUUAUUAGCAAGAAGGUCUCAUGGGGGGCUGGGGAUUUUUUGAUCCCUCCCUCCCCAAGGUUACCCAGCAGGAUGUGGACUCUGUCCAGUGGCUUCUAUGCCCCCCCACCAAUUAGUAGCUGACUAAGCCCAAGGCUACGAAGGUGGCAUACCUUCCAGGGGCCAAGACAGCCUCUACUGACAUACUGGGAAUGGCCACUUGUCCUACCACUGCGGUACUAAGGUUUUCCCUAUGUUCCUAUAUUUCUGUGUUUCAAGUGUUACUUGAAAGCUUCCUCAGGAUCUGUUGAAAAUCCCCUUCUAUAUUUGCAGCUACUGAGACUCUGGCACCACGCUACCCCAAGCCAUUGGGCCUGCAGAACCAAUGGCCCUCCUCUGCUUGUUCAGAACUCCGCAGUUCCAGACAAGCUGGGCCUCAGGGACACUGCGCCCACCUGCCCCUUGGAAGCUCCACAGCUCUUCAACCGCAGCCGGGUUAGGGUACUCACCACAGGCCGCAGUGCCUCAGGAGCCUGUGAUCCCUCCCUGCUUGCAGAGAUAUUCAGUCCUCCAUACAAAGGAAGGGGCUUCUGCAGGCACUCCAGAUCUGCCCAGCUCCUCCUCUGCACACCAAUGGCUAGGCGUGGCUGGGCUCGGGGGAUAGUGUAGGCCCGCCCACCCGUCGGGAGCUCAGCAGACCUCCAAGUGCAGCUGGGAUGGGGAGACGGAUGUAGUGGUCUCUAACCCGCUGCUCCACUUCACUGCACCCGGAAGCCUGGGGCGUCCGGAACAGUCUGAGAUUUAGGCAGAGUGUGCUGAGCACUUACCACAGGCCGAGGUGCCUCAGGAACCUGCAAUCCCUCCCUGCUUGCAGAGAUAUUCAAGACCAAUAAAACUUAAAACAUUGUAAACAUUACAGGACUUCCAAAGGAGAUAAUAGUCAAACCAGAAUGGGCAUCUUAGUGAAUCUUAUUGCCUUCAAAGUAGUUGCCUAUACCCUCAAACUUGAUACUAUCAUGCAGAAUGGAACAGAGUCUAAUCAGUCAAAACAAGAUGGUGGGAGUAUUACAGGACUUCAAAACAAGUUAAUAGGGAAAUCAAAAAAGUUACUAUAAUAUAUCCUGCUAAUUUUUAAAAUUUUUCCCCUUAAUUAAAAAAACCAUAAAAAAUAACUAAAUAAUUUUUUUAAUGAAUAUGGGAGAGAUUGAGAUAAAAGAGGACAUACAAUAUAACAAUACAGGUCAAAGCAUGACUUUCAGCAACCUAGUGCUUCACCACCAAAUAACCCGACUUAAUAGUAGUUACCAUAGUGUCUGUGUUUUUCCUUGAAAUAUUUGAAUAUAACUUCAUACACUAUAGCUUCAAAUAUUUCCAUAUCAAGAAGCCCAGAACAAAGCCUUUCCAAUUAGUAAGUGAAAACUUUAUAAGGCUUCAAGGCCACAUAAUGGGGAAUCAUGAUUACCACAUACUUUUAUAUAUUUGAAUAAUUACUUACAUCAGGGAAACUAUUCGGUAUUCACACAUGCGAGAUUGAUUUAUUUCACUCAUGAAUAUGGUCUCAAGCUGUGCCCAUUUAUUGAUAAAUAUCUCAGUGUGAAGUGUUAUGUACUUUUAAUGAACAAUAUUUUCUGUUAUAAUUUAAAUGUACUGAAUAAAUAUCAAUUUUACUGCU
RNA transcript from Cavia porcellus (domestic guinea pig), 19219 nucleotides. It is a transcript of the gene named src substrate cortactin-like, with no coding region annotated. The record is from RefSeq and is a predicted model, not a curated record. The transcript is spliced from 8 exons. Lineage: Eukaryota; Metazoa; Chordata; Mammalia; Rodentia; Caviidae.